RNAcentral lists this ribosomal RNA (495 nucleotides) under uncultured bacterium. Its description in RNAcentral is "partial 16S ribosomal RNA". It matches the Rfam family "Bacterial small subunit ribosomal RNA", at positions 28 to 507 of the family's 1533-position model. The record is from RNAcentral.
GACGAACGCUGGCGGCGUGCCUAAUACAUGCAAGUAGAACGCUGAAGGAGGAGCUUGCUCUUCUGGAUGAGUUGCGAACGGGUGAGUAACGCGUAGGUAACCUGCCUGGUAGCGGGGGAUAACUAUUGGAAACGAUAGCUAAUACCGCAUAACAGUAGAUGUUGCAUGACAUUUGCUUAUAAGGUGCAAUUGCACCACUACCAAAUGGCCCUGCGUUGUAUUAGCUAGUUGGUGGGGUAACGGCUCACCAAGGCGACGUUGCAUAGCCGACCAGAGAGGGGGAUCGGCAACGCUGGGACUGGGACACGGCCCAGACUCCUGCGGGAGGCAGCAGUAGGGAAUCUUCGGCGAUGGACGGAAUGCGGACCGAUGAACGACGCGUGAGUGAAGAAGGUAUUCGGAUCGUAUAGGUCUGUUGUAAGAGAAGAUCGAGUGUGUGAGUGGAAAGUGCACACUGUGACGGUAUCGUACCAGAAAGCGACGGCUAACUCCGUG